This is a long non-coding RNA of Strongylocentrotus purpuratus (purple sea urchin), 352 nucleotides long. RefSeq lists it as uncharacterized. The record is from RefSeq and is a predicted model, not a curated record. NCBI's taxonomy places the organism in Eukaryota, Metazoa, Echinodermata, Echinoidea, Camarodonta, Strongylocentrotidae. The transcript has 3 exons.
UCUUUUUGUGGAUAGCGACAACGAAACUAUUUUCUGGACAGAUACGGACUUCAAAACCAUCGAAUCCAUCCAGUUUGACGGAUCGAACCAGCGAGUACUGAUAAACGAUGUAGAUAUGCCGAGGGCAAUUAUAAUUGUUCCAGAAAACAGGAAGCUCUAUUGGACGGACUGGGGGAGUACACCCAAGAUUGAGAUGUCUAAUCGGGAUGGUUCUGGACGUCAGAUGAUUCUGGAUACAGACAUCGGAUGGCCAAACGGUAUCACUUACGAUAUGCAAGGGAAUCGGUUGAUUUGGUGUGAUGCUCGUCUCGACAAGAUUGAAUCGUGCGACCUUGAUGGUGGUGGGAGGAAG